Long non-coding RNA from Carlito syrichta (Philippine tarsier), 498 nucleotides. RefSeq lists it as uncharacterized. The record is from RefSeq and is a predicted model, not a curated record. The transcript has 4 exons. NCBI's taxonomy places the organism in Eukaryota, Metazoa, Chordata, Mammalia, Primates, Tarsiidae.
GCCUGAGCCGCCGGUCCAGUGGCUCAAGGACAUCACUUUGUCUCAUCAUUGGUUAAGGUGGUAUCCUCUAGAUUUCUACAUUGUAAAGCUCAGUGGAUUCCAUGAAAGCCCUGGCAGACCUCUAAGAAGAGUCUAGCUGUCCCAUCUGUCUCGAGUACUUGAAAAACCCAGUGAUCAUCAACUGUGGGCACAACUUCUGUUGCUCUCUUCAGUAUAUCCUGGAAGGAUCUAGAUGAUACCUGUCCCUGUCCUGUCUGCCGUUUUUGCUUUCCAUAUAAGAAAUUCAGGAGGAACCCUCAGCUCCAUAACUUAACUGAAAUGGCUAAGCUACUCCAGAUCAGAAGGAGCAGGAGGAAGAGGCAGAAAGAGAGUGCUGUGUGUGAAAGCACAAUCCGCUUCUGACCCUCUUCUGCUUGAAGGACCUAGAGAUCUUAUGUACAUAGUGCAGUUUUUCCACUAAACACCAGAGCACGACAUUUGCACCAUUAAGAAAGCUGC